This 253-nucleotide ribosomal RNA is filed under the name uncultured bacterium. RNAcentral describes it as "partial 16S ribosomal RNA". It matches the Rfam family "Bacterial small subunit ribosomal RNA", at positions 524 to 776 of the family's 1533-position model. The record is from RNAcentral.
UACGUAGGGGGCAAGCGUUGUCCGGAAUCAUUGGGCGUAAAGAGCGUGUAGGCGGCCCGAUAAGUCCGCUGUGAAAGUCCAGGGCUCAACCCUGGAAUGCCGGUGGAUACUGUCGGGCUCGAAUCCGGAAGAGGUGAGUGGAAUUCCUGGUGUAGCGGUGAAAUGCGCAGAUAUCAGGAGGAACACCCGUGGCGAAAGCGGCUCUCUGGGACGGUACUGACGCUGAGACGCGAAAGCGUGGGGAGCAAACAGG